GGACUACCCGGGUUUCUAAUCCUGUUUGAUCCCCACGCUUUCGUGCCUCAGCGUCAAUAAUAGUGUAGCGAGCUGCCUUCGCAAUCGGUGUUCUAUGUCAUAUCUAAGCAUUUCACCGCUACAUGACAUAUUCCGCUCACCUCCACUAUAUUCAAGACAGAUAGUAUCAACGGCAGUUUCUGGGUUAAGCCCAGAGAUUUCACCACUGACUUACCUGCCCGCCUACGCACCCUUUAAACCCAGUGAAUCCGGAUAACGCUUGCACCCUCCGUAUUACCGCGGCUGCUGGCAC
RNAcentral lists this ribosomal RNA (292 nucleotides) under uncultured bacterium. Its description in RNAcentral is "partial 16S ribosomal RNA". RNAcentral also lists the same sequence under 1 other name. The record is from RNAcentral.